AUGGAACGCAUGGCUACUUCCUAUUUCAAGGAAGUGUAUACGAAGGACCCGACUCUCCAUCCCGAUGUUGUUCUUGAGGCUAUUGGGCCUAAGGUGACUGAUCAGAUGAACGCCAUGUUAUGUGCGCCAUUUACUGAGGAGGAAGUUUCGAAUGCGCUAUUUCAAAUUGGCCCGCUUAAAGCUCCGGGCACAGAUGGCUUCCCGGCUAGGUUCUAUCAACGGAAUUGGGCAGCUCUAAAAUCUGAAAUUACAGCUGCUGUGUUGGAGUUUUUUGUCUCUGGCUCCAUGCCAGAAGGGGUAAAUGAUACGGCGAUCGUCCUCAUCCCGAAAGUUCCUUACCCCAAGGAGCUCAAAGACUUUAGGCCGAUCAGCCUCUGCAAUGUUAUUUACAAGUUGGUAUCUAAAUGUUUGGUUAACCGGCUCCGGCCUUGUUUGUCGGAGUUGAUUUCUGAGAAUCAAAGUGCUUUUAUUCCGGGCCGGCUCAUCUCGGAUAAUUCUAUUAUUGCUUUUGAGUGCAUCCAUCACAUACAAUUUGUGAAGAACACCAGUCGGGCGGCAUGUGCGUACAAACUCGAUCUCUCAAAGGCGUAUGAUCGGGUCGACUGGGACUUUCUAGAGAAGGCCCUCUGUAGAUGGGGCUUCUCGGAGCAGUGGAUCGCUUGGAUAAUGUCUUGCAUUAAAUCUGUCCGGUAUUCGGUUAAACUGAAUGGGAAACUACUGGAGGUUUUCUCACCUUCGCGUGGCCUUUGUCAAGGUGACCCAUUGUCUCCGUUCUUGUUUCUCUUUGUUGCUGAUGCGUUAUCUACUCUUCUAUCUAAAUCAGUGAGUGAAGGUAGCUUGAACGGGGUGAGCAUCUGUCGGGGUGCACCGGUGAUUUCUCAUCUCCUCUUUGCGGAUGAUACAUUGCUAUUUUUUGAAGCUUCAGGCCAGCAAGCGGAUGUUGUUAAGGGUUUGUUGAACACUUAUUCCUCGGCGACGGGUCAACUUAUAAACCCCGAGAAGUGUUCCAUCCUUUUUUCUGACAACUGCGGUGGGCAAGUCGUGGAUGAGAUCAAGAAUAUAUUGGAGGUGACGCAGCAGGUUUUCAAACCAAAGUAUCUUGGACUCCCAGUCCCGGAAGGGAGAGUGCACAAGGGGCAAUUUGAGACAUUGCAAGAUAGAUUGAGGAAAAUUCUUAUUGAUUGGAGUGAACAAUAUAUCUCGGUUGGAAAUAAAGAGAUUCUGAUCAAGGCAGUGUCUCAGGCAAUUCCCACCUAUGUAAUGAGUGUGUUCAAAUUGCCGACGUCAGUGUGUGAUGAUCUUACCAAGAUGAUGCGGCAAUAUUGGUGGGGCGUGGAAAAUGGUAAAAGAAAGAUGGCAUGGUUAAGCUGGGAAAGGAUGAUGCUACCCAAAGCAAUGGGGGGCAUGGGAUUCCGAGACAUGACGGCGUUUAACCAAGCCCUGCUGGCCAAGCAGGCUUGGCGCCUCUUGGAUAGCCCAGAUAGCCUUUGUGCGAGAUUACUUAAGGCCAAAUAUUACCCUAGGGGAAGUUUACUUGACACUGUUUUCUCGACGAACAGUUCAGCGGUCUGGAAGGGUAUUGUUCAUGGUCUUGAUUUGGUG
RNAcentral lists this ribosomal RNA (1602 nucleotides) under Triticum aestivum (bread wheat). RNAcentral's name for it is "partial small subunit ribosomal RNA". Lineage: Eukaryota; Viridiplantae; Streptophyta; Magnoliopsida; Poales; Poaceae. The record is from RNAcentral.